CGUACUGUGAAGCAUCCUGUUAAGUCAGGCAACGAGCGAGACCCACGCCAACAGUUGCCAGCUCGUCCUCCGGGAUGGUGGGGACACUGUUGGGACCGCUCUGCUAAAGAGGAGGAAGGAAUGGGCACGGUAGGUCAGCAUGCCCCGAAUUAUCUGGGCUACACGCGGGCUACAAUGGGUGGGACAAUGGGUAUCGACACCGAAAGGUGAAGGCAAUCUCCUAAACCCAUCCGUAGUUCGGAUUGUGGGCUGCAACUCGCCCACAUGAAGCUGGAAUCUGUAGUAAUCGUGUCUCAAAAUGGCACGGUGAAUAUGUCCCUGCUCCUU
RNAcentral lists this ribosomal RNA (327 nucleotides) under uncultured Methanomicrobiales archaeon. RNAcentral describes it as "bacterial SSU rRNA". It matches the Rfam family "Archaeal small subunit ribosomal RNA", at positions 1010 to 1338 of the family's 1478-position model. Lineage: Archaea; Methanobacteriati; Methanobacteriota; Methanomicrobia; Methanomicrobiales. The record is from RNAcentral.